Salvelinus fontinalis (brook trout) is the source of this 7808-nucleotide long non-coding RNA. RefSeq lists it as uncharacterized. The transcript is spliced from 2 exons. The record is from RefSeq and is a predicted model, not a curated record. NCBI's taxonomy places the organism in Eukaryota, Metazoa, Chordata, Actinopteri, Salmoniformes, Salmonidae.
GCUUCUUCAACAACUGCAGCCACCUCUGUAGCUCGAUAGCCAACACAGUCGGAACAUUCAAGUUCUUUAGACAAUUUCGUGGUUUAUUUGCAACUGAUUUAAACAUACUUAUGUGGAAACAACUAGCUAACCUACUAUUUCAUUUAAUAUUUACAUUGUAAGUCAACUAGCGGGCUGGUUAAGUUAGUAUUAGCCUAGCUAGCUAUUAUCCCCCACCAUGAACUCACUAAGCUACUCUCCUCCUGCUAAAGAGGCGUUCUGCUGUACGGAGAAAGAAGCUUUCGUGGAAGAGGAGGCUGUUGCAAUACAAAAACAAGUAGAGGGUGAGGCUGUUACCGUGAAAGAAGAAGAGAAAGACGUUACAGAUAAAAACACCUUCAGGGUGAAAGAGGAAGAGGAUGUUACGCUUCGAACACACCGAUUGCGUCAUUGCAUCACUGCUGCAUAACAUUUUGCGCAGCUAGGCAACUAUACUGAUGCAGGUACCUUUUGCAAAUGGUCGCAUGCGGUUGGACACAUGGAGGAGAGAAUCAUUUUCGCAGUGUCCUCAAAACCGUGUCUUUUUGACACAACUGCUGACAGCUACAGGGACAUAAACACAAAAAAUGCUGCUUGGAGACAAGUGUCCACAAUAGUAGGAUUGCCAGAGAUGGAGUCAAUUUAGCAGACCAGCUCACAGAAAGGACAGGAAGAGGAGAGGAAGGACAGGAAGAGGAGAGGAAGGACAGGAAGAGGAGAGGAAGGACAGGAAGCGGAGUUGUCUGGUUUUUGUUUUGACCUCCCUCAUUGUACCUUUCUUUUCACACACGUCAGUUCUGUUUAAAUUCAGUCAAUUCAUAAAGUCAUUUGUUUAUAAAGUCUUAGGAUAGCAUUCAUUAUUAGUGUUACAUAGAUUUCUGAAUUGAAACUCAUACAGAGUUUUCACAGAUGCUCUUGGUGUCUUACGAGACUAAAGGUCAAUAUAUUUAUUUCCUUUAAAACCACUUGAAAACCAGGGUGUUGAAACUUUUUGUGAAGUUAUGUUCCAUCGACUGGUCCAUGACGUCCAGGGGCCAUUUGUUUGUUUAGCUGUGUUAUGGCUACAUAUUAUUUCCUUUUUCAGAGACACACACACACACACACACCUCUUCAUACCUCAGAUCUCCAGUGCCCUGCCCUCUCUCUCUUUAUGGCCAUGUCUGAAGUUCCCCUACUACGUCUAGGCUUUAUGAGUAGUCCCUUUAAUGGUCUGCAGUUGUGCCAAAAAUACAUGCUCUUGUUGUUCUCUUACAGAUUACAGGCUACACGUUCAUUUUAUUUAUUUUUUACACGCACAUACACACCUCUUUCAAUAGUUCAAUUUUUUGAAACAUCUUUACAACACACAUACCUGUCAUGUUCUUUCCUGUACAUGAAUACUUAUUAAAUUAUAAUGUUUUCAUAGUCAGUUGUUUCAUAUCUAAUUUAGACUUAAUCUGUUUAUUUCUUCCCUACACCUUUGCAGAUCUAAGACAAGAUGAACGUAAAAACACAUUCUCUUCCUAAUUAGUUUUUUUUCCACCUGUAUUUUGUCAGGCCAGUGAACAUGGUGGUAAACUGUACUAUUUGUAUGGACCCUAGGUUACCCUUUCCCUUUGUUAUCAUACUAACUGUAUGUCGUAUAACCUUAAUUAGUGCUCCCGCUCACCUGAUGUACCAUGCCAGGUGUGUAUAAUACUGACGUUAAUGGGAGAGGGAAGGGGUUAUUAAGGUGUGGUCUUUACUCCCAAAUGUCACUUAAAUAUAGCUUCCAAAUGAAGAGAGACAAUGAUACAUAAAGUGAUGUAUCCACGGUGGAUGGUUCUUAAAUGGUUCUUAAAAUAACCUUUAUGUUAGGGGGCUCUUAAAAGAGCAGUUUCACUCCACGGCAUACUGCCAUGGGACUUCACCUGCUGGCGAUGAGAAGUAGGUGGUCAGCUUCUCCCUCACCUGGAGUGCCUGUCUGGGGGCGUUGUUGGCACCUGCCAUGGUGACAUCAGGAAGGUGACCAUUUACCGUGCCCAUCUCCAUCCGGAGCGGCUCCUGAAAUGACCUCCGCAGGUAGUUGUGGAGAACACAUGUGGCCUUCACGCAGGCAUCGACAUUUGAGGGGCUGAGACCAAGCACUCUCCGAUACAUUCUCCAUCGGGCUGCCAGAAUCCCAAAGGCGCAUUCAACAACUAUCCUUGCUCUGGACAGUCGUUUGUUAAAGAUCCUUACAGGCUUUGGCAAUGGCAGCUGGCGUCCAGCGUAGGGCCUCAUGAGGUUGGGUCUUAAAGGGAAGGCCUCAUCGCCGACGAAGAUGUGGGGAACAGGUCCCAGGUCUUCAGCCCCAGGGAGUGAUGCAGGUGGUGGAAUAUCCAGGGUGCCAUCCUGAAGUGCCUGGCCAAAGGCAGAGUCCCGGAGGGUCCCGCCAUCACUUCCCUUGCCGUAAGCACCAACAUCGACAACACGGAAACAGUUGAUGGCAUCUACUACAGCCAAGAGUACAACUGAAUAUGUACCCUUGUAGCUGUAGAAUUGCGAACCUGAGCACGGUGGAGCCUGGAUUACUACAUGUUUCCCGUCAAUGGAGCCAAGACAGUUGGGGAAAUUCCACCUCUCCAGGAACUCGGCAUUCAAGGCUCUCACAAUUAAUUUGCAAGGCAAAUGCAGCGUUCCAUUGGAAAUGAAUGUACUUCUGGUGUAUCGAAACGCAAGACACAGUCGGUGUGUUCGAAGCGUUACUGUGAAAGAAGAGGAGGAGGAUGCAGUUUUUGGAGUAGAAGAUGAAGACGUUUUUGAAAUGACGGAUGAAGAGGGGGAGAUUACUGUCACAAUAGAGGAGGACGAAGAAGAGAAGACUGGAGAUCUGAUUAACACCAGUAAAUACAGUGAGUACUAUCUUCUAAAACAGGGACAUUGAUCUGAUUAACACCAGUAAAUACAGUGAGUACUAUCUAAUAAAACAGGGGUAUUGAUCUGGGCAUUCUACACUUGAAUAUGUUUUUGUACUGUCGUAAUUGUUCAUGACUUCCUCCAGUGAUUUUUUAAAAACUUUUCCCGUUGAAAAGUGAUAUAUAAAUACAGUAAAGUAUAAACACACUAAAGGGAAACAAAUAAAUGUUUUGAGCAAAUUAGUGUUUUUUUAGACAACUGCAAACUUGAAGGAGUGAGUGAUGUCAUAGUAAAGCAUUCAAGGAGUUGGCUUGAUGGGAAGUAGUGACUUCAUCCAAUAGGGGACAGAUCUUCAUGCAAAUAUUCACUAUUCUUUUUAAAAUCCUUCCUGUUCUGUCAAGUUGGUUGUUGAUCAUUGCUAGAAAGCCAUUUUCAAGUCUUACCAUAGACUUUCAAGACGAUUUAAGUCCAAACUGUAACUAGGCCACUCAUGAACAUUCAAUGUCAUCUUGGUAAGCUCCUCCAGUGUAGAUUUGGCCUUGUGGGUUAGGUUAUUGUUCUGUUAGUACAGUUUUUUGUAUUCAGAUCUCUGAAAUGCACUCUACCUACGUAACAUUUAGUGUUUCCUUAUGUUACGCUGAGAAAACAGUUUUCAUGGGCACAGAAAUAGUAAAUAAUUUCAGGGUUUGCUAAAUCCAAUGGUUCUAACCGAGAGUCACCUUAACUUUAUUGACAACACCCAAAUGGAUACUGUCAUUAACGCAAUUCUUCAAUAAUUACACAUAAUACUUAAUACUGUAGUUGUUUAGUUACAAUCACAUGUUCAACUAUCAUCAGCUGAUCCAGGAAAUCAUUUUCUGAAUGACAGUCACAUGACAAACAUCACGACAUGCAACAACAACCAAAGUGCUUCUUCAUUCAUUACUCUGGUAAAGACAGUUAUGCCGUGCUCUUUGUGGGAUCCAACAUCCCUAACAAAUUGAUGUUUAUAAUGUGUUAUUGUCUGCUUGAUUUACAGUAGCGUCUCGUUAGUCUGUUUGGAAACAGAGAUACUUUACUCAUAAUGUGUAGAGAACUGUUCCUUGAUGGAUAGGCUAUUGUACAACACACAGAGCUAUUUUCCUUUAUUCAGGAAAUUUAGAAUGACAACACAUUACAGAGUAGCCUAGUGGGAUUAUUCACAAAAUGAUCUGGUGAUCAGGUUAUGAAAUGUCACGAUAAAGACAUUUUAGUUUCCAUGUUUCACCUUAAAUAUUAAAUGAUUUAUAGUCCUAGGUCUAGGUUGUUGUUUUGGGUCCUACAGUAGGUCUAUGUUGUUUUUAGGUGAAGUUAUGGGUCCGACAGUAGGUAUAUGUUGUUGUUAGGUGAAUUUAUGGGUCCUACAGUAGGUAUAUGUUAUUGUUAGGUGAAUUUAUAGGCCAAUUUGCGUACACUUAGUUUACAGACGUUCAUUGACAGACUGGUAGCAAAGCUUGCCAAAGAGCAUUUUACUGGUUGAAGUGUUUUUUUUAAGUAUAAAGCAGUUGACUUGCGACAACACAAACAUUAUACACUGCUCAAAAAAAUAAAGGGAACACUAAAAUAACACAUCCUAGAUCUGAAUGAAUGAAAUAUUCUUAUUAAAUACUUUUUCUUUACAUAGUUGAAUGUGCUGACAACAAAAUCACACAAAUUAUCAUUGGAAAUCAAAUUUAUCAACCCAUGGAGGUCUGGAUUUGGAGUCACACUCAAAAUUAAAGUGGAAAACCACACUACAGGCUGAUCCAACUUUGAUGUAAUGUCCUUAAAACAAGUCAAAAUGAGGCUCAGUAGUGUGUGUGGCCUCCACGUGCCUGUAUGACCUCUCUACAACGCCUGGGCAUGCUCCUGAUGAGGUGGCGGAUGGUCUCCUGAGGGAUCUCCUCCCAGACCUGGACUAAAGCAUCCGCCAACUCCUGGACAGUCUGUGGUGCAAUGUGGCGUUGGUGGAUGGAGCGAGACAUGAUGUCCCAGAUGUGCUCAAUUGGAUUCAGGUCUGGGGAACGGGCGGGCAAGUCCAAAGCAUCAAUGCCUUCCUCUUGCAGGAACUGCUGACACACUCCAGCCACAUGAGGUCUAGCAUUGUCUUGCAAUGCUAGAGGAGGAACCCAGGGCCAACCGCACCAGCAUAUGGUCUCACAAGGGGUCUGAGGAUCUCAUCUCGGUACCUAAUGGUAGUCAGGCUACCUCUGGCGAGCACAUGGAGGGCUGUGCGGCCCCCCAAAGAAAUGCCACCCCACACCAUGACUGACCCACCGCCAAACCGAUCAUGCUGGAGGAUGUUGCAGGCAGCAGAACGUUCUGCACGGCGUCUCCAGACUCUGUCACGUCUGUCACGUGCUCAGUGUGAACCUGCUUUCAUCUGUGAAGAGCACAGGGCGCCAGUGGCGAAUUUGCCAAUCUUGGCGUUCUCUGGCAAAUGCCAAACGCCCUGCACGGUGUUGGGCUGUAAGCACAACCCCCACCUGUGGACGUCGGGCCCUCAUACCACCCUCAUGGAGUCUGUUUCUGACCGUUUGAGCAGACACAUACACAUUUGUGGCCUGCUGGAGGUCAUUUUGCAGGGCUCUGGCAGUGCUCCUCCUGAUCCUCCUUGCACAAAGGCGGCGGUAGCGGUCCUGCUGCUGGGUUGUUGCCCUCCUACGGCCUCCUCCACGUCUCCUGAUGUACUGGCCUGUCUCCUGGUAGCACCUCCAUGCUCUGGACACUACGCUGACAGACACAGCAAACCUUCUUGCCACAGCUCGCAUUGAUGUGCCAUCCUGGAUGAGCUGCACUACCUGAGCCACUUGUGUGGGUUGUAGACUCCGUCUCAUGCUACCACUAGAGUGAGAGCACCGCCAGCAUUCAAAAGUGACCAAAACAUCAGCCAGGAAGCAUAGGAACUGAGAAGUGGUCUGUGGUCACCACCUGCAGAACCACUCCUUUAUUGGGGGUGUCUUGCUAAUUGCCUAUAAUUUCUACCUGUUUUCUAUUCCAUUUGCACAACAGCAUGUGAAAUGUAUUGUCAAUCAGUGUUGCUUCCUAAGUGGACAGUUUGAUUUCACAGAAGUGUGAUUAACUUGGAGUUACAUUGUGUUGUUUAAGUGUUCCCUUUAUUUUUUUGAGCAGUGUAUUAGGCAGGGCAUUCAAACGAGACUUACAAUUUUAAUCCAAAGUAUUGUGAAAUGCACUCAUAAGCAACCUGGAAAUGGAGGCAAAUUUUUCUUGCAGCCUGUAAGUUUUCCCCCACUGUAGGCAAUUAAUGAAUAGUGACACAGAGCUUAAUGUGAGUUUCCUUGAGUAACACUCCUGAUCUUGCACUGAUAGUGCGCUGUAAUAUUCAGAAUACAUCGUGAAAAACUACAAUCUUCGCUCACCAUUUUUGCUCCAGGCAGAUAUACUACAUCCAUAACUAGUGGUUUCCUCAUUACCAGAUAUACUACAUCCAUAACUAGUGGUUUCCUCAUUAGCAUGGAAGAGUUUCUGCAACCAAAUUGUGCGCGCAUUGCCCUCGUGGCGCAAUUUUAGCAAACACAGAAAGGGGCCUAUAUUGGAGACCAAAAGUCAUCUGGCACAGUGCUUAGGAUUUCAACAAGACAAAAUAUGACUAUUCUUUCUCAUUUUAAGAUUCAUUACAUAUGUCAAUUGUUGUACAACAUCAUAGCUACGCUGUUGGUAUCACCUUUUACAGUGUAUUUCUGCUGUUGUGGGCUUUUAACCAUCUGUCUGACUUUGUUGUUCACACAGGAGAGAGACGAGACUAUUGUGGAUCCUCUGGGGAGCAGGGUGCUCAUUAGUCUUUCAGUUGUUAAUCUUCUAUUUUUUUUCCUCUUUUGUUUGUUGUGUAGGAAAUAUUUCUGUUUAAUUUCAUGUUUUUUUAUUUGUUUUUUCCAUUGUGUUUCGUCCAUGUUUGAAAUGUGCUAUAUAAAUAAAGCUUGAUAUGAUUUGAACAUAUUGUAAAACAAAUUAAUCCGAUGACUGACAAGCAACAGACUCUUGCUAAACCAUAUUACAAAUAUGUGCAAAAGCAACACAUAUCUUGGUCCAUCUUAGUAUGAAAAACAGUAUAAAUUCAGUAUAUCUUCCACUAUGUCAAUAUAGUGCAUGGUAUGUAAGUUUAGUAUCACUUUUUCACCAACCCAGUGCAUUUGAUGAAAAUGAUUUUUUUUUAAAUCAACAAUACGUCAAAUGAUUCAACUACUGAAAACUGAAACAAACAAUUGGAUCAAACAGAUCAAUCCCACUGGACAUUGGGUUUAAUUCAGACCCUGCCAGUGUACCAGGUGGACAUUGGGUUUGAUUCAGACCCUGCCAGUGUGUCAGGUGGACAUUAGGUUUGAUUCAGACCCUGCCAGCAUGGCCAGAUAUGUAACUUAUAACCACGGAACCAACACAGACCUUUCAUGCAUGACUAAAAACACCUAAGUAUUAGAUUUACUGCCAUGUUGUAGUAUGUCACUGCCUCAGACACCAUUCACAAUGCUGGCUGAGGUACGAGUUAAACAUGACAAAUUAUUUCCUAACCAUUCAUAAUGCUGGCUGAGGUACGAGUAAAACAUGACAAAUUAUUUCCUAACCAUUCACAAUGCUGGCUGAGGUACGAGUAAAUCAUGACAUAUUAUUUCCUAAUUGUGAAAAAAUCCCCACUCCUUUAUCAACUAGUCUCCCACUGUUUAACCAGAAUAACAUGAAUAACAUGUCCUUCAAACUGUUAGAAUGUUAGUCCAUAAUCAACUAUUCUCUCACUGUUUAAACAGAAUAACAUGAGUUGUGUCCUUCAAACUGUUAGACUGUUAGCCCAUAAAAGCAUAUCAGCUACUGAGAUGUCAUGUAUUGUCAUGUCAUGUUCUCUAUAAUGAAACAUCUCCAAGUGAAAUAAAGUUGAUAAGAUAUUCUUAAUACACAUUAAAUAAAAAAGGGUUGCUCAGAAAUCA